This 468-nucleotide ribosomal RNA is filed under the name uncultured bacterium. RNAcentral describes it as "partial 16S ribosomal RNA". It matches the Rfam family "Bacterial small subunit ribosomal RNA", at positions 28 to 507 of the family's 1533-position model. The record is from RNAcentral.
GACGAACGCUGGCGGCGUGCUUAACACAUGCAAGUCGAACGGAAAGGCCCUGCUUUUGUGGGGUGCUCGAGUGGCGAACGGGUGAGUAACACGUGAGUAACCUGCCCUUGACUUUGGGAUAACUUCAGGAAACUGGGGCUAAUACCGGAUAGGAGCUCCUGCUGCAUGGGGGGGGUUGGAAAGUUUCGGCGGUUGGGGAUGGACUCGCGGCUUACCAGCUGGUUGGUGGGGUAGUGGCUUACCAAGGCUUUGACGGGUAGCCGGCCUGGGAGGGUGACCGGCCACAUUGGGACUGAGAUACGGCCCAGACUCCUACGGGAGGCAGCAGUGGGAAAUAUUGCACAAUGGGCGGAAGCCUGAUGCAGCAACGCCGCGUGCGGGAUGACGGCCUUCGGGUUGUAAACCGCUUUCGCCUGUGACGAAGCGUGAGUGACGGUAAUGGGUAAAGAAGCACCGGCUAACUACGUG